This 93-nucleotide transfer RNA is filed under the name Nocardia asteroides. RNAcentral describes it as "tRNA-Asp(gtc)". Lineage: Bacteria; Bacillati; Actinomycetota; Actinomycetes; Mycobacteriales; Nocardiaceae. The record is from RNAcentral.
GGCGAACUCGCUGACCCGGAUGCCGCCGUGCUCGUCGAGCACGGCGAGGGCCCGCAUGACCGCGCGGGGCAGGUCGUCGUCGCUGAUCGCCCC